Molecule: ribosomal RNA, 860 nt
Filed under: uncultured bacterium
Lineage: Bacteria
Description: SSU rRNA
Rfam family: Bacterial small subunit ribosomal RNA
Source: RNAcentral
UACGGAGGGUGCAAGCGUUACUCGGAAUCACUGGACGUAAAGAGCGUGUAGGCGGGUGAAUAAGUCAGAAGUGAAAUCCAAUAGCUCAACUAUUGAACUGCUUUUGAAACUGUAUACCUAGAAUGUGGGAGAGGCAGAUGGAAUUUCUGGUGUAGGGGUAAAAUCCGUAGAGAUCAGAAGGAAUACCGAUUGCGAAGGCGAUCUGCUGGAACAUUAUUGACGCUGAGACGCGAAAGCGUGGGGAGCAAACAGGAUUAGAUACCCUGGUAGUCCACGCCCUAAACGAUGUACACUAGUUGUUGUGAGGCUCGACCUUGCAGUAAUGCAGUUAACACAUUAAGUGUACCGCCUGGGGAGUACGGUCGCAAGAUUAAAACUCAAAGGAAUAGACGGGGAUCCGCACAAGCGGUGGAGCAUGUGGUUUAAUUCGACGAUACACGAAGAACCUUACCUGGACUUGACAUAGUAAGAACUUUCUAGAGAUAGAUUGGUGUCUGCUUGCAGAAACUUAUAUACAGGUGCUGCACGGCUGUCGUCAGCUCGUGUCGUGAGAUGUUGGGUUAAGUCCCGCAACGAGCGCAACCCUCGUCAUUAGUUGCUAACAGCUUGGCUGAGAACUCUAAUGAGACUGCCUACGCAAGUAGGAGGAAGGUGAGGACGACGUCAAGUCAUCAUGGCCCUUACGUCCAGGGCUACACACGUGCUACAAUGGGGCAUACAAAGAGCAGCAAUACCGUGAGGUGGAGCAAAUCUCAAAAAUGUUUCUCAGUUCGGAUUGUAGUCUGCAACUCGACUACAUGAAGUUGGAAUCGCUAGUAAUCGUAGAUCAGCUAUGCUACGGUGAAUACGUUCCCGGGUCU